AACGAACGCUGGCGGCAUGCCUAACACAUGCAAGUCGAACGAGACCUUCGGGUCUAGUGGCGCACGGGUGCGUAACGCGUGGGAACCUGCCCUUAGGUUCGGAAUAACUCCCCGAAAGGGGUGCUAAUACCGGAUAAUGUCUUCGGACCAAAGAUUUAUCGCCUUUGGAUGGGCCCGCGUUGGAUUAGCUAGUUGGUAGGGUAAAAGCCUACCAAGGCGACGAUCCAUAGCUGGUCUGAGAGGAUGAUCAGCCACACUGGGACUGAGACACGGCCCAGACUCCUACGGGAGGCAGCAGUGGGGAAUAUUGGACAAUGGGCGAAAGCCUGAUCCAGCAAUGCCGCGUGAGUGAUGAAGGCCUUAGGGUUGUAAAGCUCUUUUAACCGGGAUGAUAAUGACAGUACCGGGAGAAUAAGCCCCGGCUAACUACGUG
RNAcentral lists this ribosomal RNA (433 nucleotides) under uncultured bacterium. Its description in RNAcentral is "partial 16S ribosomal RNA". It matches the Rfam family "Bacterial small subunit ribosomal RNA", at positions 29 to 507 of the family's 1533-position model. The record is from RNAcentral.